Molecule: long non-coding RNA, 452 nt
Filed under: Panax ginseng (ginseng)
Lineage: Eukaryota; Viridiplantae; Streptophyta; Magnoliopsida; Apiales; Araliaceae
Description: long non-coding RNA (PGIN_LNC012434)
Source: RNAcentral
AUUCCAGGUAUGGAGUCAACCAGCAGUUGGUUCGGUCAAUGCACAUCACUACUUCAUGAUGAACACUAGGAUGUUGCAAAAUUUCCAGGUACACCGACCCUUCAAAAACAUUAACAUCCGUAGUGGCUAGUCUGACGAGUGCAUCAACAAUGGAAUUGUUAUUACGCUCGACCCCCCUGAAACUCGUAGAAUUGGAAAUACUGAAGCCGUUCUUUCAAUUCUGCCAAAUACUUGAUCAUUCUAGGGCCUCGAGCUUCGUAUUCCCCAGAGAAUUAUUUAACGAUUAACUGAGAAUCACUGAAGAUGAUUAUUCUCUGCACUUCAAGACUCUUCGCUAAUCGUAACCCUGCAAGUACUGCCUCAUAUUCCGCUUCGUUAUUCAUCGCUUUGAACUGAAACCUGAUGGCCUGCUGCACCUUGAAUCCCUCCGGACUCGUCAAGAUAAUCCCUGC